RNAcentral lists this ribosomal RNA (396 nucleotides) under Triticum aestivum (bread wheat). Its description in RNAcentral is "partial small subunit ribosomal RNA". Lineage: Eukaryota; Viridiplantae; Streptophyta; Magnoliopsida; Poales; Poaceae. The record is from RNAcentral.
AUGGCUCCGUCGGACCUUCCCUCGCGAGUGACGGCCCUCUUCCCGACCAGAUCGGCGACGGCGACGACCGGUGAUGAACACAUGCCUGCCCCAUUCUUAAUUCUCCCGGGCAGUCUGGGAUGCAGAUGCCGCCGCCAUUCUUCCGCACAGCUGAGUACGCGGAAGUCGUUGUUGCCUGCAACUCAGCCCUGCGAAGUUGAGGAGGGUUCGUUGUCCGGGCAUCGCAUCCUCCUGCUUGUCCUCUACCACAGGGUCGUCGCCAUCUUCCGUCACCACGACCACCUCUGCCAUGUCCUCUACGGCUCUACCACGGGUCAGCAAGAGCAUACCACCGCAUGUCCUCUUCACAUGAUAAGUACAGACUUGGCUAAGCGAUUUUAUGUCAAACUGACAUAA